GACGAACGCUGGCGGCGUGCUUAACACAUGCGAGUCGAACGGAAAGGCCCUGCUUGCAGGGUACUCGAGUGGCGAACGGGUGAGUAACACGUGGGUGAUCUGCCCUGCACUUCGGGAUAAGCUUGGGAAACUGGGUCUAAUACCGGAUAGGAGCCAUCUUUAGUGUGGUGGUUGGAAAGUUUUUUCGGGGUAGGAUGAGCUCGCGGCCUAUCAGCUUGUUGGUGGGGUAAUGGCCUACCACGGAGGCGACGGGUAGCCGGCCUGAGAGGGUGUACGGCCACAUUGGGGCUGUGAUACGGCCCAGACUCCUACGGGGGGCAGCAGAGGGGAAUAUUGCACAAUGGGCGCGAGCCUGAUGCAGCGACGCCGCGUGGGGGAUGAAGGCCUUCGGGUUGUAAACUCCUUUCGCUAGGGACGAAGCUUUGUUGUGACGGUACCUAGAUAAGAAGCACCGGCUAACUACGUG
This 466-nucleotide ribosomal RNA is filed under the name uncultured bacterium. RNAcentral's name for it is "partial 16S ribosomal RNA". It matches the Rfam family "Bacterial small subunit ribosomal RNA", at positions 28 to 507 of the family's 1533-position model. The record is from RNAcentral.